GACGAACGCUGGCGGCGUGCUUAACACAUGCAAGUCGAACGGAAAGGCCCUGCUUUUGUGGGGUGCUCGAGUGGCGAACGGGUGAGUAACACGUGAGUAACCUGCCCUUGACUUUGGGAUAACUUCAGGAAACUGGGGCUAAUACCGGAUAGGAGCUCCUGCUGCAUGGUGGGGGUUGGAAAGUUUCGGCGGUUGGGGAUGGACUCGCGGGUUAUCAGCUUGUUGGUGGGGUAGUGGCUUACCAAGGCUUUGACGGGUAGCCGGCCUGAGAGGGUUACCGGCCACAUUGGGACUGAGAGACGGCCCAGACUCCUACGGGAGGCAGCAGUGGGGAAUAUUGCACAAUGGGCGGAAGCCUGAUGCAGCAACGCCGCGUGCGGGAUGACGGCCUUCGGGUUGUAAACCGCUUUCGCCUGUGACGAAGCGUGAGUGACGGUAAUGGGUAAAGAAGCACCGGCUAACUACGUG
RNAcentral lists this ribosomal RNA (468 nucleotides) under uncultured bacterium. RNAcentral describes it as "partial 16S ribosomal RNA". It matches the Rfam family "Bacterial small subunit ribosomal RNA", at positions 28 to 507 of the family's 1533-position model. The record is from RNAcentral.